AACGAGAGUCAGAGGUUCGAAGGCCAUUGAUACCGCCCUAGUUCUGACCGUAAACGAUGCCGACUAUCAAUCCGCCAGUGGCCCUCGGUCAUKGGCGGGCGGAUCGACGGAAACGAAAGUUUUUCAGGUUCCGGGGGAAGUAUGGUUGCAAAGCUGAAACUUAAAGGAAUUGACGGAAGGGCACCACCAGGAGUGGAGCUUGCGGCUUAAUUUGACUCAACACGGGAAACCUCACCCGGCCAGUACAUCACAAGGAUUGACAGAUUGAAAGCUCUUUCAUGAUUUGAUGAAUGGUGGUGCAUGGCCGUUCUUAGUUCGUGGCGUGAGUCGUCUGCUUAAUUGCGAUAACGAGCGAGACUCCGACUGUUAACUACCCCYYGGAUUCUCGCGUCCUCGCGGGUUCUUAACUGGAUUCAAUGCUUCAAGCAUUAAGAAAUGGAGCAAUAACAGGUCUGUGAUGCCCUUAGAUGUUCGGGGCCGCACGCGUGCUACAAUGAUGGUAACAGCGUGAUUGUCCUCGCCCGACAGGGCUUGGCAAACAGUUGAGAUAUUAUUAUGGCUGGAAUUGAGUGUUGAAAUUUUCUCUCAUGAACGAGGAAUUCCAAGUAAAUGCGAGUCAUCAACUUGCAUUGAUUACGUCCCUGCCCUUUGUACACACCGCCCGUCGCUACCCGGGACUGAGUUAUUUCGAGAAAUUCACGGACCGCCAGUUGUCUAGCAGUAGACUUCCAAUGUAAAGUAAAUUAAUCGCAUUGGCUCGAACAGGGUAA
Molecule: ribosomal RNA, 770 nt
Filed under: Aphelenchoides pannocaudus
Lineage: Eukaryota; Metazoa; Nematoda; Chromadorea; Rhabditida; Aphelenchoididae
Description: SSU rRNA
Rfam family: Eukaryotic small subunit ribosomal RNA
Source: RNAcentral